GACAUCUUUUGCCCCGCCUGGAGCUGCGUCCUCUUCAGAAACCAUCUGCACAUAAAAGGAAUCACUCAAGAUAUGGCAUCGAUGGCUGCGGCUGCAUUUGGAGAGGACGUCGCUGAAGAAACAUCAAACUGCAUCACUUGCGGUCUCGCUAAUUCACUGGACUGGCACAAUUCAACAGCAUGAUCCAACCGGUUCAUCUGCAGCUUCUGCUUGGCCAACAGCUAAAACAUACAGCAUAAACUGUUGCUUAAAAGUCCUCCAAUUUGUGUCAACAUUUCCAGACAACUUCAAAGGGCCUGGUGGUUUAAUUGCCUCCAUUUCGUUCUUGAAAACCCCACUCCUGGUACCAUGUAUUAUUCAAGAACUAGACAAUAAACCAAUACAAGGAAUUACUGGUGCUGGCGUCUUUAUUCCACGUGGAACAUUCAUCAUCUACAAAUUACCACACCACUCCUUA
Long non-coding RNA from Carassius auratus (goldfish), 457 nucleotides. RefSeq lists it as uncharacterized. The record is from RefSeq and is a predicted model, not a curated record. The transcript has 3 exons. NCBI's taxonomy places the organism in Eukaryota, Metazoa, Chordata, Actinopteri, Cypriniformes, Cyprinidae.